Molecule: unclassified non-coding RNA, 391 nt
Filed under: uncultured Meruliaceae
Lineage: Eukaryota; Fungi; Basidiomycota; Agaricomycetes; Polyporales
Also listed under: 1 other name
Description: sequence contains ITS1
Rfam family: 5.8S ribosomal RNA (bases 1-105)
Source: RNAcentral
GAAAUGCGAUAAGUAAUGUGAAUUGCAGAAUUCAGUGAAUCAUCGAAUCUUUGAACGCACCUUGCGCUCCUUGGUAUUCCGAGGAGCAUGCCUGUUUGAGUGUCAUGGUAUUCUCAAUUCAUCCGUGUUUUUAUUUAUUAAGCAUGGCUUGAAUUGGACUUGGAGGCUUUUUUGCUGGCGGCUUGGAUUUUGAUUCAAGAAGCUGGCUCCUCUGAAAUGCAUUAGCUUGAAUAUUACCGAGCAUAUCUCAGCGUGAUAAUUGUCUACGUUGUGUGUGCUCUGGUGUUUAAAUUGUUCUAGCUUCAAACCGUCUCUUUGUUGAGACAAUUAUAAUAUAAUACUAUUAUGAACAUCUGACCUCAAAUCAGGUAGGACUACCCGCUGAACUUAA